CCCUUAGAUGCCCUGGGCCGCACGCGCGCUACACUGACAUGUUCAACAAGCCUCCUAGUUCGACAGGAUUUGGGAAAUCUUUGAACGCAUGUCGUGAUAGGGAUAGAUCAUUGCAAUUAUUGAUCUUGAACGAGGAAUUCCUAGUAAACGCGAGUCAUCAGCUCGCAUUGAUUACGUCCCUGCCCUUUGUACACACCGCCCGUCGCACCUACCGAUUGAGCAAUCCGGUGAAUACUUCGGACCGGUUACUUGGUUGGUUCGCUAACCUUGUGACUGGAAAGUCGAGUGAACCUUAUUGCUUAGAGGAAGGAGAAGUCGUAACA
Molecule: ribosomal RNA, 323 nt
Filed under: uncultured eukaryote
Lineage: Eukaryota
Description: partial 18S ribosomal RNA
Rfam family: Eukaryotic small subunit ribosomal RNA
Source: RNAcentral